Molecule: transfer RNA, 108 nt
Organism: Verruconis gallopava
Lineage: Eukaryota; Fungi; Ascomycota; Dothideomycetes; Venturiales; Sympoventuriaceae
Rfam family: tRNA
About the family: Transfer RNA (tRNA) molecules are approximately 80 nucleotides in length.
Source: Rfam
GCUUCCAUGGUGUAGUUGGUUAUCACGUCAGUCUCAUAUAACAAAUAUGUAUGACCUAGUUCAUCUAGGGUUAUCUGAAGGUCGCCAGUUCGAACCUGGCUGGGAGCA